Molecule: ribosomal RNA, 253 nt
Filed under: uncultured bacterium
Lineage: Bacteria
Description: partial 16S ribosomal RNA
Rfam family: Bacterial small subunit ribosomal RNA
Source: RNAcentral
UACGUAGGGUGCGAGCGUUGUCCGGAAUUACUGGGCGUAAAGAGCUCGUAGGUGGUUUGUCGCGUUGUUCGUGAAAUCUCACGGCUUAACUGUGAGCGUGCGGGCGAUACGGGCAGACUAGAGUACUGCAGGGGAGACUGGAAUUCCUGGUGUAGCGGUGAAAUGCGCAGAUAUCAGGAGGAACACCGAUGGCGAAGGCAGGUCUCUGGGCAUUAACUGACGCUGAGGAGCGAAAGCAUGGGGAGCGAACAGG